This 3551-nucleotide long non-coding RNA is filed under the name Homo sapiens (human). RNAcentral's name for it is "HSALNT0128027". The record is from RNAcentral. Lineage: Eukaryota; Metazoa; Chordata; Mammalia; Primates; Hominidae.
GUGUCUAGGAAGUAACUAGCUUGUUUUUGAUUUUACAGGCUCAUAGGUAGAAGGGACUUGCAUCGUCUCAGAGACUUUGGACUUCAGGCUUUUGGGUUAAUGCAGAAAUGAGUUAAGACUUAACGGUGAUUGUUGGGAAGGCAGUACCCCAGGGAGAGGUAAUUGAAUCAUGAGGGCCGGUCUUUCCUGUGCUGUUCUCCUGAUAGUGAAUAAGUCUCGCGAGAUCUGAUGGGUUUAUCAGGGGUUUCCGCUAUUGUUUCGUCCUCAUUUUCUCUUGCUGCUACCAUGGAAGAAGCGACUUUCGCCUCCCGCCGUGAUUCUGAGGCCUUUCCAGCCAUGUCAAACUCAAAAUGUGACUGAAAAACAGAAGCAUUUGGAAUACGUAACAGAAGUCAUUAAAAAGAGCCAUGUAAUAUGUGCCUGCUUCCCCUUCUGCCAUGAUUGUAAGUUUCCUGAUGCCUUCUCAGCCAUGCAGAACUGAAUCCAUUAUUGUUUGCAUUAUCAUUGACGACUGUGAGAAUCUGCAGAAAAAAACAGUAUGGAACUACAACUUCACGUUCUUGAGAAAAGCUUGCAGUGUAAGAUGCGUUUGUUUGUGGUGCCUGAGGAAGAGAGCAGCAGAAAAGAGAGUUGGUAGUGCUGAGCUGCUGAAGGUUCAUUACUGCCUAGCCUUGAGAAUGGAGGCCCCACUGGGUACUCUUCAUAAGAGAUGCCCCAACUCGUCAAAGGAAUUAUGAGAAAAAGAAGAAAAAGAAGAGGAAGGAGGAAGAGGAGGAAAAGGAAGAGGAAAAGGAGGAAAAGGAAGAGGAGAAGGAGGAAAAAAAAUAAAAUAAAUAAAAUACUACCUAUAGUAAAGGGCAUUUCUCAAACUUGGGUCUGACCCAGAUGGCCUUAAUCUUUCCCUUAGCUUGACUAAAUAUUACACGGACUUCUUGCUGCUUCUAGAUUUCUGGACUUCCUCUCACUCUUGCCUUUAUAGAAUCUAGAUGGUCUAAAUUCUAGAUUUUAGAGAAUUUAAAAUCAGAGAGGCCCCUCUUCUCUCUCUUUUUUUUUUUUUUUUUUUUUGACAGGCUUGCUCUGUCACCCAGGCUGGAGGCUGGAGUGCAGUGGCGCGAUCUUGGCCCACUGCAAGCUCUGCCUCCUGGUUUCACGCCAUUCUCCUGCCUCAGCCUCCCAAGUAGCUGGGACUACAGGUGCCCGCCACCACGCCUGGCUAGUUUUUUGUAUUUUUAGUGGAGUUGGGGUUUCACUGUGUUAGCCAGGAUGGUCUCUGUCUCCUGACCUGGUGAUCUGCCCACCUAGGCCUCCCAAAGUGGUGGGAUUACAGGCAAGACCCACCACGACCGGCCUCCCUUUUCUUAAAAUAUUUACUUUGGAAAUCUGAUGACUACAGAUUUUUUUCCUCUGGCCCUUUGAGAAAGGGUUUUCAAAUUAAGCAAUUGACUUUUAUAGUCCAUGAAUGUCUUAGCCAAGGACCUAGGAGACAUCUCUUUGAAAUAUAAUCAUCAAUGGAGAUAGUACCUCUGUCUUCCAGUUUCUGUGGGGAGAGUUGAAGCCUAACUUCAUAUCAAGUCUAGCUCCAAAUAGUAAAACUAUCCCCUAUCAUGAUGAUACAAGAAACUUUACCUUUCACUUGAGUAAGCCCAACUAGCAAACACAGAUGGCUUAAGGUUCUUCCAACCUCAGCUCUUAAAAACUCUCCAGGCCUUUGUUUCAACAGAGCUUAAUUCAGACUGAAUUUUGCUCCUCUCCUAUAUCACAGUAGCCUUACAUAGUCUUCCUUACCUAUGUGGCUUUCCAAUGAGAUUUUUACUUUAACAAUGCAUCUCUAUCAAGAUCACCAGGAUCCUUGUCCAAAAUCUCAAUUUCUUCUGGCCCUGAUACAGACCUACAUAAGUAAAAUUCCUGUGACUUGGCAUUCUGUAUUUUUUCAUUAAAUUAUAUGGAUAAUUACAGACUGAAAACAAUUAUUAUCAGACCCCCACCCUGAUAAGCAUAUCUUCAAAUUUCUGGUUCCUAAAAUUAAGUUCCUUUCUAUAUAAAUUUAUUUUCCAAUUAUUUGUUGCUUCAAUAUAUGGUUUAAUUAGUAUUGAAAACACAAAAACACAAAUUAACAAAAAAAAUAUAUUUGAGUGCUACUUAUCUUUUAAAGCCUGGCGUCCAUGGAGCUCAUUUGCAUGGGUUUCUGUAAAAAAGUACCACAAACUGGAUGGCUUAAACAACAGAAACUUAUAGAGGCCAGAGGUCCAAGAUAAAAGUGUCAACAGGAUUGGUUCCUUCUGAGGUCUAUGAAAGAGAACAUUAUUUAUGCCCCUCUCCUAGUGUCUAGUGGUCUGUUGGCAAUCUUUGCUAUUCCUUGACUUGUUUGUAUUAGGUUGGUGCAAAAGCAAUUGCAGUUUUUGCAAUUACUUUUAAUGGCAAAAACUGCAAUUACUUUUGCACCAAUCUAAUAGACAUAUCACCUAGAAUCUGCCUUCACAUUCAAAUGAUGUUCUACUUGUGUAUGUUUGUGUUUAAAUUUCCUCUUUUUUAUAGAGACACCAGUUCUAUUGGAUUAGUGGCCCACCCUACUUCCAUAUAACCUCAUCUUAACUAAUUACAUCUGCAACUACCCUAUUUCCAAAUAAGGUCACAUUCUGAGGCCCUGGAGUUAUGACUUUAACAUAUAAAGUCAUAUAUAUUUUUGCAGGAUCCAAUUCCAACCAUAAUAGAUGCACAUCUCUAAAGAAGUACAAAGACUUCAAUCCCAUCCUGUUCCUUCUUCUUACUGUGGAAACAUGUCCCAAUCUUCAUUAGGGAGUUUGAAAAUUGCUCAAAUCAACUUUGCUGGCUUUGGGUAUAACAACAGGUUUUAUGCAUAGAGGUGAGAAGAAAAUUAGUUUUAUUUCCACAUGCUUUGUUUCAUUACUACCACCUUAAGGUCCAAAGUAGACGGAUAAGUGAUGGAGAAGAUAACAGGCCCAUGGAAUGUUUCUUAUGAGAAAAACAUGGAUAAAAGAAAACUUACAUCAUAUUUCCCAGAGGGCUGAGUAGAGCAAGGAGUGUGGUGAGCUUGAGGCAUGCCAAAGAAUAAGAGAAAAUGCUCCGAAGAAAGAAUGGGAGAAAUGAGUUUUGAUUAGCAAAGACAUGGAAUCAGCCUAAAUGCCCAUCAAUGGUAUACCAGAUAAAGAAAAUGUAUAUAUACACCAUGGAAUACUAUGCAGCCAUAAAAAAGAAUGAGAUCAUGAUAUUUGCCACAAUAUGGAUGGAGCUGGUUAUAUGCAAACUAACGUAGGAACAGAAAAACAAAUACAACAUUUCUCAUUUAUAAGUGGGAGCUAAACAUUGAGUACAUAUGGAAACAAAGAAGGGAACAACAAACACCAGGGCCUACUUGAGGGUGCAGGGUGGGAGGAGGAUUGAAAAACUACCUAUGAGACACUAUGCUUAUUACCUGAGUAAUGAAACAAUCUACACCAAGCCCCCGAGACAUACAAUUUGCCUAUGUAACAAACCUGAACAUGUAACUCUGAACCUAAAAUACAAUUUGAAAUAAAAUAAAUACAAAGGAU